RNAcentral lists this long non-coding RNA (539 nucleotides) under Chloebia gouldiae (Gouldian finch). RNAcentral describes it as "Erythrura gouldiae (Gouldian finch) lncRNA (ENSEGOG00005002251.1)". Lineage: Eukaryota; Metazoa; Chordata; Aves; Passeriformes; Passeridae. The record is from RNAcentral.
CGCGCGGUUGCUGCGGUGACGCGCGGGACGGGCCCCGGCGCCGCGCCCGCCGACCCGGAGCGCUCGCAGGUCCUGCUCAUGCCCCAGCUCAGGAGGUGCCGUGGCUGGAAGGAGCCUUGGAGAACCUUGGAGCCUCUGGACAGGGCCAGCAGCGGGUACAGUCCUCUGGCUGUGUUCUUUAACUGUAUUUUGGAUGGGAUUACCUUUUACUUCAUUGCCAUCUAUAGAAACUGAUGAAUAUUUUUAGGUCCUGAUGGCUGAGAAGGCUCCAGAGCAGCCAUGGUGUGCUGCUUUGUGCUUGGCUGGCACCAGAGUUGCAUGUAGCAGCAGAGGAGAGGAAGGAAAAAGGAGCUGAAGGGCAUGGCUGCAAAGAAGUGAACGAGCUGAAUAAUGUAGAAGGAAUUUGGGAAACUCGAGGGAAAAGUGAGGAACCUAACAUGGAGGUUUGGCAAUGUGAAGUUGGGCUUGUCCAUCACCAAUGCAUAGAAAAUCAGAGAAGUUGCAGCAUCCUUCACUGUUUUGUCUGUCCUUUGGGUUAC